Molecule: transfer RNA, 73 nt
Organism: Camelus ferus (Wild Bactrian camel)
Lineage: Eukaryota; Metazoa; Chordata; Mammalia; Artiodactyla; Camelidae
Rfam family: tRNA
About the family: Transfer RNA (tRNA) molecules are approximately 80 nucleotides in length. Their secondary structure includes four short double-helical elements and three loops (D, anti-codon, and T loops). Further hydrogen bonds mediate the characteristic L-shaped molecular structure. tRNAs have two regions of fundamental functional importance: the anti-codon, which is responsible for specific mRNA codon recognition, and the 3' end, to which the tRNAs corresponding amino acid is attached (by aminoacyl-tRNA synthetases). tRNAs cope with the degeneracy of the genetic code in two manners: having more than one tRNA (with a specific anti-codon) for a particular amino acid; and 'wobble' base-pairing, i.e. permitting non-standard base-pairing at the 3rd anti-codon position.
Source: Rfam
GGUGGUAUAGCUCAAGUGGUAGAGCACAUGCUUAGCAUGCACGAGGUCCUGGGUUCAAUCCCCAGUAACGCCU